CGGGGUGUAGCGCAGUCCGGUUAGCGCACCUGCUUCGGGAGCAGGGGGUCGGCGGUUCGAAUCCGCCCACCCCGACCA
Molecule: transfer RNA, 78 nt
Filed under: Gemmatimonadaceae bacterium
Lineage: Bacteria; Pseudomonadati; Gemmatimonadota; Gemmatimonadia; Gemmatimonadales; Gemmatimonadaceae
Also listed under: 3 other names
Description: tRNA-Pro
Rfam family: tRNA
About the family: Transfer RNA (tRNA) molecules are approximately 80 nucleotides in length.
Source: RNAcentral